RNAcentral lists this long non-coding RNA (525 nucleotides) under Nicotiana benthamiana. RNAcentral describes it as "long non-coding RNA (NBEN_LNC026993)". The record is from RNAcentral. Lineage: Eukaryota; Viridiplantae; Streptophyta; Magnoliopsida; Solanales; Solanaceae.
GUUUGUGGGAGAAGGGUCUUGUUGCUCAUUUAUGAAUCAGCUUGAAGAUGAUAACGCCACAGAUUCAGAUGCAGACAAUUCUAUCGACGAACAUUCAGCUGUUAGAAAGAAUGGCAGAGAGAAAAUUAGUUUACUCUCAUGUUCUCAUGACCACCAUGUUUAUAACUGUAAUUUAUGCAAGUGCGGAUCAGAAUUAUCUAAAACUCUUCCAUCUCAGUGUGCUAGGAAUGACCGUACAGAAGAUAGCUGUUCAUCAAUUUGCACCAAUUCUCAAUCAAGAUCACGUCAUAGAACUUCUCGAGGAAAUGGAGGGAAAUAUAGUACUGCCAAUGAUAGGAUACACUUUGAUUAUAGUGACCUUAACGUGGUAAAUGAUGAGUCAGUUGGAGAUUCUAUGUAUGACAAUGAAGUGGAAAGUAGUUAUAUAUCUAACUACCUAGCAUUCUCUGAUUCAGUUAUUGGUGGAACUGAUGGAAGUACUCCUGUACUGCGGAAAGGUGAAGAUAAUAUUUUGAACCUUUUUAU